This is a long non-coding RNA of Ceratitis capitata (Mediterranean fruit fly), 662 nucleotides long. RefSeq lists it as uncharacterized. The record is from RefSeq and is a predicted model, not a curated record. Lineage: Eukaryota; Metazoa; Arthropoda; Insecta; Diptera; Tephritidae. The transcript has 4 exons.
CAUUUAAAUUUAAAAGUAAAUGAAAUUUAAGUGAAGGCAUUCUCAGGCUACAAGCUUAAACGAAUUUUCUUCAUGAUGUUCAUGUUUUUUGUUGUGUUGUAAUAAUUUUUUUUUACUUACGAAAUGGAGGUGUCAAGUUUGCUUUCUUUUUUGAGUCCAAAUUAUCAACAUUAUCCUUAUGUUUAAUGUUUUCCUCUAAUAGAUUUGAUGUCGUGAGGUGUCCGAUUGUGGAUCAGAGAGAAAUCAAUGUCCAAACGUUGAAAUUUUUGUGCGUGGUAAAAUGGAUUCCAGAGUAACUCUUUUUCGGGAAGUGAUUAAGAAAUCAAAUUAUUUGUCCAGAUACCUGAUUGACGCUGAAUGAGGAUUGUACAUCAGUCAGUCAGUCCUUACAUUCAUUAGAAUAUCUAAUUUGAACAAAAUAUAAAAACCAUAACAACUUGUGUCGAUUCUUUUAAUUUGUAUGUAUACACACUCGUACAUAACAUAAAAGCAUGGGAAUGUUCUUCAACCGUUUGAAUUAAUGUAUUCCAUACUGAAUUACUAGAUAAUGGGUUCGGCAACCCAACGGUGUGUCUGUAAUACCUUGAGCUUUUAUCCUGGCAUAAGUGAGAAAAUAUAUGUAUGUAUAUUAUUGUAUCUUUGCAGAUCUGAAGAUAUAUAUA